CCACACCGUAAACGAUGGUAAUUAAAUGUUGGCACGGAAUGUGUCGGUGUUGUAGUUAACACAUUAAAUUACCCGCCUGGGUAGUACAUUCGCAAGAAUGAAACUCAAACGGAAUUGACGGGGACCCGCACAAGUGGUGGAGCAUGUUGCUUAAUUCGACAAUACACGUAAAACCUUACCUAGGUUUGACAUCUCCUGCAAAGCUAUAGAGAUAUAGUGGAGGUUAACAGGAUGACAGGUGGUGCAUGGUUGU
RNAcentral lists this ribosomal RNA (253 nucleotides) under uncultured bacterium. RNAcentral's name for it is "partial 16S ribosomal RNA". It matches the Rfam family "Bacterial small subunit ribosomal RNA", at positions 795 to 1052 of the family's 1533-position model. The record is from RNAcentral.